Molecule: ribosomal RNA, 496 nt
Filed under: uncultured Streptococcus sp.
Lineage: Bacteria; Bacillati; Bacillota; Bacilli; Lactobacillales; Streptococcaceae
Description: bacterial SSU rRNA
Rfam family: Bacterial small subunit ribosomal RNA
Source: RNAcentral
GACGAACGCUGGCGGCGUGCCUAAUACAUGCAAGUAGAACGCUGAAGGAGGAGCUUGCUUCUCCGGAUGAGUUGCAAACGGGUGAGUAACGCGUAGGUAACCUGCCUGGUAGCGGGGGAUAACUAUUGGAAACGAUAGCUAAUACCGCAUAAGAGUAGAUGUUGCAUGACAUUUACUUAAAAGGUGCAAUUGCACCACUACCAGAUGGACCUGCGUUGUAUUAGCUAGCUGGUGGGGUAACGGCUCACCAAGGCGACGAUACAUAGCCGACCUGAGAGGGUGAUCGGCCACACUGGGACUGAGACACGGCCCAGACUCCUACGGGAGGCAGCAGUAGGGAAUCUUCGGCAAUGGACGAAAGUCUGACCGAGCAACGCCGCGUGAGUGAAGAAGGUUUUCGGAUCGUAAAGCUCUGUUGUAAGAGAAGAACGAGUGUGAGAGUGGAAAGUUCACACUGUGACGGUAUCUUACCAGAGAGGGACGGCUAACUACGUGC